Long non-coding RNA from Micropterus dolomieu (smallmouth bass), 2210 nucleotides. RefSeq lists it as uncharacterized. Lineage: Eukaryota; Metazoa; Chordata; Actinopteri; Centrarchiformes; Centrarchidae. The record is from RefSeq and is a predicted model, not a curated record. The transcript is spliced from 3 exons.
UAUCAGUCAAGACAGAACGAAUGACGGUGCCGGCGUACUCGAUCACCAUCUCCCCAGCGUCAAUGUUCCUUUUGCAGAAAAGGCCCCGACCAUGGAUUUCAGAUCUAAGAGGAUUACAGAACAGGAAUCAGGUUAAAUACAUUUGAGCAUACAAAUUAUUUUGGACAUUAAUAAAAUCGCAUGCUUUUCUUGUUGUUUCGUUUGUUGCCAUUACCUGUAAACUCCUACUGCUUCUUUCGAGAUUUUUUCCAGGUGUCUGAAUCUCAUUGCCAUUGGGAGCUCACUGCUGGUGGCUCGUCUGUCAGAGUGAGACACAGAAAAGGUGGCAUCAACAUGAACAUGGCAUCUACUAAAUUACUUCCUUAUAACAGCUUUACAAUCCUGUUUUUGUGGUACGUAGCGGGAACAAAUUUUAGGAUUAAGAAAGUGGCACAAAUUGUAUCCCCUAACCUGGAAGAUUUUAGUGGGAAUUCAUCUUCCUCUUCGUCAAAAGGGCCUACUAUGUCAGGGAGCUCUCUGUGCUGUGAUGCCAGGAAGUUAAACAUAUCAAAAGUCGCUUUCCUAAUUAGAGAAACAGGAGAAAUGAAAAUACAAAUGUGAGUUGUAUUUAAAAUCACAGACAAGAAACAGAAACAACGAAACCAAGCAAUUCAAGAAACCUUAUUUACACUUAUGUCACGACAAAAAGUAACCGUCUGUACCGUGUGUAGACUUCCGAACGAGCGCAGCCACUCGGGUUGAGGGGAAGCUCUUCCUCGAUGUCGUCACAGCGGUGGAACCUGAAGCGGUGGCGUUUGCAGUUUGUGGCCCCCUGCAGUUGCUCCAGCAGGAAGAUGACGGCGUCGUGGACGACACCGAGCACCCGCGGCCCCGUCAUCACACCCAGAGGCAGCUGCUUCAUGUGGAAGCCCGAUCGAGCUUCCAGGACGCCGUCAAUCACCGCGCGCCAGGCAACUGACGAAAGGAAAGAGAUGAGGACUUUUCUGCAGGGCUGGUAGACAUCUUGAGAAUAAUACACUGCCUGAGAAGCUGAACUUGUAAAGAAAGACUUCGGUACACACCAGUAGAUGGCCUUGUUAAGAGAACCUACCAUGAAUGUUUAAGAUGACAGCACGUAAAUGGACAGAUUCAGACUUCAGCAGGCUGCUGUAGGAGCGUGGUGCGAUGUUACGCAGGGACAGUUUUCUGACUCCAGGCGCCAUGGAGGACGAUCCCUCCUCUGACCCUCCUGACAGCCGCCUUGCCUGGACUAAGAAAAAGGAGCCCCGUGAUUAAUUUUGUAAACAAACUAAAUAUUUGUGAUGUGUUGUUGAAUUUGUUAUUUCUGUUAACUUAAAGACAUGAUUACAGCAAAUCAAACAAGAAAUAUUCACUCAGGGAGACCAAUGAGAAUAAUCUAAAUAGAGACAUACCUUUUAAUGGUUUGACAAUGCGCUCAAUCUUUGCUUUCUCAAUCCUCUCACACUUCUUAUAUCUGGGGGCAGAAGAAAGAGUAAACUGUAAUUAUUUGGCCAAGUGCAGGUGUAGACAUCUAUGAAUGUGUUAGACUGUGAGAGCCAACUUGCCUUCAUUAACUGGAUUGUUUAAUAUGUUUUACUGGAAAGAAAUAAAAAGUUUUUUCAUGUUUCAUGUACAAAAAUGCUUAACUUAGAAGUUAAACAGUAUUUUUGACUUACUUCAACAUUUUAGAACUCAGCACCAAACUCAGUAUUGUCAGUAUAAAAUGUAAAUAUGUUGCUAUUUUCCCCAAACACAGUGACUGACUGAUUUUCACUGCCUAUCUUCAAAGCACUAGCAUGACAUUUUGGGAAAUACACUUAAUUGCUUUCUGGUCGAGAAUCUGAUGAGAAGAUCAAUACCGCCAUCUUGUCUGUAUUGUAAAUAUGAAGCUACAGCCAGCAGCUGGUUAGUUUAGCUUAGCACAAAGAGUGGAAACAGGGAAACCGCUAGCCUGGGUUUGUCCAAAGGUAACAAAAUCCACCUACCAGUACCUCUCAAGCGCACUGAUUAUAAUGUUAUAUUUAUGUUUGUUUGGUCUCUGCAAAAACCAAUAUGUAAAAAUUAACACAUUUAUUUCCAUUGGACAGAGUCAGGCUAGCAGUUUCUCUCCAUUUCCUGUCUUUGUGCAAAGCUAAUCUAGUAGGCUGCAAUCUGUAUUUUUCCUGUGCACCGCAAUCCAUAAAAUGUGAAACUAUUUCUUUUAACUACUG